UACGGAGGGUGCGAGCGUUAAUCGGAAUUACUGGGCGUAAAGCGCACGUAGGCGGUCAGUCAAGUCGGGUGUGAAAGCCCUGGGCUCAACCUGGGAAUUGCAUUCGAAACUAUCUGACUCGAGUAUGGGAGAGGGAAGCGGAAUUUCCGGUGGUAGCGGUGAAAUGACGUAGAUAUCGGAAGGAACACCAGUGGCGAAGGCGGCUUCCUGGACCAAUACUGACGCUGAGGUGCGAAAGCGUGGGGAGCAAACAGGGAGUUAAGAAACCCC
Molecule: ribosomal RNA, 270 nt
Filed under: uncultured bacterium
Lineage: Bacteria
Description: partial 16S ribosomal RNA
Rfam family: Bacterial small subunit ribosomal RNA
Source: RNAcentral